AAUCAACGCUGGCGGCGUGCCUCAGACAUGCAAGUCGAACGAUUAAAGCUCUCUUCGGAGAGUGUAUAGAGUGGCGCACGGGUGAGUAACACGUAAGUAAUCUACCCUCGAGUGGGGAAUAACGUCCGGAAACGGACGCUAAUACCGCAUAAUGCAGCGGCACCGCAAGGUGACAGUUGUUAAAGGAGAAAUUCGCUUGAGGAGGAGCUUGCGGCAGAUUAGCUUGUUGGUAAGGUAACGGCUUACCAAGGCUACGAUCUGUAACCGGUCUUAGAGGACGGUCGGUCACACUGACACUGAAUAACGGGUCAGACUCCUACGGGAGGCAGCAGUCGGGAAUUUUGGGCAAUGGGCGAAAGCCUGACCCAGCAACGCCGCGUGAAGGAUGAAGUAUUUCGGUAUGUAAACUUCGAAAGAAUAGGAAGAAUAAAUGACGGUACUAUUUAUAAGGUCCGGCUAACUACGUGCCAGCCGCCGCAGUAAU
Molecule: ribosomal RNA, 484 nt
Filed under: uncultured bacterium
Lineage: Bacteria
Description: bacterial SSU rRNA
Rfam family: Bacterial small subunit ribosomal RNA
Source: RNAcentral